CCGAGAGUAUCACAGGGAUAACGCAACCAAAUGUAGCGAUAAUACCUGCCAUAAAAUAUAGUAGCUAUUUGAAUGCCUACUAUAGCUGCCGCAAGGCACGAUAAACCAUACCAGGUCUCUCGGACGUGUUUCUUAUCUAUUAGUUUGUUGGUUGGGUAAGUGCCAACCAAGACAGUUAUGGGUACGGGGAAUCAGUGUUCGGUUCCGGAGAGGGAGCCUUAAAAAUAGCUACCAUAUCCAAGGAUAGCAGCAGGCGCGAAAAUUACUCACUUCUAAUACCUAAGAGAAGUAGUGACGAGAUAUAACAACUUCCCUUAAGGGAAGGUACCACCACCCGGUGGUUCGGAAUGGUUUCAAUGUAAACUGUUGUGAGAGUAUCAAUUAGAGGAAAAGUCUGGUGCCAGCACCCGCGGUAAUUCCAGCUCUAAGAGUGUAUACUAAUACUGCUGUAGUUAAAUCGUUCGUAGUCCACAUGUUCAAAAGUGAUGUUUCUUGCUCGUGGACUUUCAAACCUAACCGCUC
Molecule: ribosomal RNA, 522 nt
Filed under: uncultured eukaryote
Lineage: Eukaryota
Description: bacterial SSU rRNA
Rfam family: Eukaryotic small subunit ribosomal RNA
Source: RNAcentral